Molecule: long non-coding RNA, 2012 nt
Filed under: Homo sapiens (human)
Lineage: Eukaryota; Metazoa; Chordata; Mammalia; Primates; Hominidae
Description: HSALNT0258187
Source: RNAcentral
CUGUCCUUGAAACUGACUUUGCCUGUGCUUGUGGAGGAGGCUGGUAAAACCAUUGUAAAAGGCUUAGUCUUCAGCGGCAAGACCUACCUGUGCAGACACUCAUCUGGACCCUUCUGUAGCUAGUGCAGACAGCAGGUGCAGAGUGGCUCUCGAGGAACGGCUGUGUGUCCUGCACAGAGGCCUCCUGUGUGGGGCAGGGAGGACAGCAGGAACCGGACACAAACAAAACUACCCUGAAACAGCAGGAACAGGCAAUUGCAGGCACAGCAUUGAGGCAUCGGUCUUACUUUGGGAGGCUGAGGCAGGUGGAUCACUUGAGGUCAGAAGUUGGAGACCAACCUGGACAACAUCGCGAAAUCCCAUCUCUACUAAAAAUACAAAAAUUAAUCAACACAAAUUUGGGAGUUCCUGCAACACCUCUCAGUGUCAUCGGUGGAGGGUGUCCAGGUUCUUGGUGCCUUGAACAAGGAAUUGGACAAAACACACAAAGCAAGGAAGGAAUGAAGGGAUUUAUUGAAAAUGAAAGUACACUCCACAGUGCAGGAGCGGGCUCGAGCAUAGGGGCUCAAGGGCCCGGAUACAGAAUCUUCUUGGGUCCAAAUACUCCCUACAGGUUUCCCAUUGGCCACUUGGUGGUCAACUCGUGUAAACCAAGUGGUGGCCCGAAAUCUGUCUGAUUGGUUGUGGAAAGCAACCAAUGGGAAGUUGAGGCAAUCCAGUCAGGAGUCAAUCUGGGUUUGGCUUUUGUUAUUGCCAUGGUUUCCGUCAGUGUAACACUAGGUUCAAAUUCCUCUAGAAUUACCUUGUGCUUCAGAUGGGGGUUGAGUUGCUUCAGUGUCUUUCUUUCUCCCUCCCUCCCUCCAUCCCUUCUUUCCUUCCUCCUGUUAUAUGUAAAGUUUCAGUGCCGCAAAACCAAUUGCACUCAAAUAUAAAAUUUUCUUUUAAUUCUCAGCAAGGCAAGGUACUUCCAUAGAAGGGUGCGCCCUUACAGAUAGAGCAAUGGUGAGCGCACACUUGGACAAGGGAGGGGAAGGGGUUCUUAUCCGUGACCCACAUGGCCCCUGCUGCUGUGUUGUUCCCCUAUUGGUAGAGUUAGACCGCACAGGCUAAACUAAUUCUGAUUGGCUAAUAACGGGGUGAGUGCUUUGGCAGGAAAAAUGGUUAUGACAGAGCAGGUAAUCAGAAUGAGUCAGGGUGGAGCAGGUGAUUGAAAUGAGUCAGGGUGGAGCAGGUAAUCAAAAAAGGUUGCUUUAUAAGGAAGUUAAGUUUAAAAGUAGAAGGUAAAGAAUUGAACAUACUGACAUAUUGAUUCUUUGAAAAUAAAUUUAGAACUCAUAUCUAACACUUCCUUCCUUCCUUCCUUCUUUUUUUCUUUCUUCCUUCUUUCUUUGAGACAACGUCUUGCUCUGUCACCCAGGCUGGAGUGCAGUGGUUGCAAUCAUAACUCACUGCAGCCUUCAACUCCUGGGUUCAAGCAAUUGAUCCUCCCACUUUAGCCUCUCAAGUAGCUGAGACUACAGCUGUGCAUCACCACACCUGGCUAAUUUUUAAAUUUUUUUUGUCAGGACUGGGCCUUGCCAUGUUGCCCAGGCUGAUCUUGAACUCCUGGCCUCAAGCAAUCUCCCUGCCUCAGCCUCCUAAAACCCUGGAAUUACCUCCCAAGGGUCGUUCUUAAUAUUUCUUCCUCACCCUCAGUUUCUGGUCUUCUCUGUGCACUCACACCUCGAGGGGCUCUCCCCACACUCUUGCCCCUCCUAAUGGGAAAACUGCAGUUACUUGUUACUUCAUGCUUCCUGUGUCCUUGGGUCUCAGAGGUAGAACUUUCUCAGUAAUCCCUCCCCACUUCCCUAUGGCAGCUUAUAGUUUUUGUUUUCUAGGGGAGUAGAGAUGAAGGGUCUGGGCCAGGUGCAGUGGCUCACGCCUGUAAUCCCAGCCAUUUGGGAGGCCAAGGCAGGCAGAUCACCUGAGGCCAGGAGUUUGAGACCAGCUGGGCAACACGGUGAAACCCUGUC